Molecule: ribosomal RNA, 432 nt
Filed under: uncultured bacterium
Lineage: Bacteria
Description: bacterial SSU rRNA
Rfam family: Bacterial small subunit ribosomal RNA
Source: RNAcentral
AACGAACGCUGGCGGCAUGCCUAACACAUGCAAGUCGAACGAACCCUUCGGGUGAGUGGCGCACGGGUGCGUAACGCGUGGGAACCUGCCCUUAGGUUCGGAAUAACAGUGAGAAAUCGCUGCUAAUACCGGAUAAUGUCUUCGGACCAAAGAUUUAUCGCCUUUGGAUGGGCCCGCGUUGGAUUAGCUAGUUGGUGGGGUAAAGGCUCACCAAGGCGACGAUCCAUAGCUGGUCUUAGAGGAUGAUCAGCCACACUGGGACUGAGACACGGCCCAGACUCCUACGGGAGGCAGCAGUGGGGAAUAUUGGACAAUGGGCGAAAGCCUGAUCCAGCAAUGCCGCGUGAGUGAUGAAGGCCUUAGGGUUGUAAAGCUCUUUUACCAGGGAUGAUAAUGACAGUACCUGGAGAAUAAGCUCCGGCUAACUCCGUG